GAUAAACGCUGGCGGCGCACAUAAGACAUGCAAGUUGAACGGACUUAAUCGAAAUAUUUAUAUUUUGAAGCGGUUAGUGGCGGACUGGUGAGUAACGCCUAAGGAACCUGCCUAUUAGAGGGGAAUAACAGUGAGAAAUCAUUGCUAAUACCGCAUAUGCCAUAGAUAUCACAUGAUAACAGUGGGAAAGGAGCAAUCCGCUAAUAGAUGGCCUUGCGUCUGAUUAGAUAGUUGGUGGGGUAACGGCCUACCAAGUCGACGAUCAGUAGCCGGACUGAGAGGUUGAACGGCCACAUUGGGACUGAGAUACGGCCCAGACUCCUACGGGAGGCAGCAGUCGGGAAUAUUGCGCAAUGGAGGAAACUCUGACGCAGUGACGCCGCGUAUAGGAAGAAGGUUUUCGGAUUGUAAACUAUUGUCGUUAGGGAAGAGAAAGGACAGUACCUAAGGAGGAAGCUCCGGCUAACUACGUG
RNAcentral lists this ribosomal RNA (473 nucleotides) under uncultured bacterium. RNAcentral's name for it is "partial 16S ribosomal RNA". It matches the Rfam family "Bacterial small subunit ribosomal RNA", at positions 28 to 507 of the family's 1533-position model. The record is from RNAcentral.